Molecule: ribosomal RNA, 644 nt
Filed under: Acarospora novomexicana
Lineage: Eukaryota; Fungi; Ascomycota; Lecanoromycetes; Acarosporales; Acarosporaceae
Description: SSU rRNA
Rfam family: Bacterial small subunit ribosomal RNA
Source: RNAcentral
GAAAGCUAGUUGUAUUAUUAGUUAAUGCAAGAUCGACUACGUCGACUAAAGUUCUAGGUAGAAUAAUGAUGAUGACAAUUUUUUACCUAUAUGUCUUGACCAAGUCUCGUGCCAGCAGUCGCGGUAAUACGUGGAAGACUAGUGUUAUUCAUCUUUAUUAGGUUUAAAGGGUACCUAGACGGUAUUUCUAGCCCAAAAUAGGGUACGGAUUUACUAGAGUUUUAUGUGAGGAGGGGAGUACUCGUGGAGUAGAGAUGAAAUUUUGUUAUACUAUGAGGUAACUGGUGGCGGCGAAAGCAACCUUCUAUGUAUAAACUGACGUUGAGGGACGAAGGCUUGGGUAGCAAAUAGGAUUAGAUACCCUAGUAGUCCAAGCAGACAAUUCUGAAUGCCAUAGAUUAGAUUAUUUUUGGUCUAUAAAUGAAAGUGUAAGCAUUCCACCUUAGGAGUAAUGUGGCAACACAGGAACUGAAAUCAUUAGACCGUUUCUGAAACCAGUAGUGAAGUAUGUUAUUUAAAUUGAUGGUCCACAAAAAACCUUACCACAACUUGAAUAUUUUUUAAUUAAUACAAGCGUUGCACGGCUGUCUUCAGUUAAUGUCGUGAGAUUUUGGUUAACUCCAUUAAUUAACGUAAACCCUUAC